RNAcentral lists this long non-coding RNA (7537 nucleotides) under Daphnia magna. RNAcentral's name for it is "uncharacterized LOC116929635, transcript variant X2". The record is from RNAcentral. Lineage: Eukaryota; Metazoa; Arthropoda; Branchiopoda; Diplostraca; Daphniidae.
CCUAGCCCAAACGCUGGUCUUGCAACGCGCGCGACUCAUCUGAUCGGCGCGGCUGAACCACCCGCCCCAAUGCCUUGGCCGACGAUUCGCUGCACAACCAACGAUUCCGUCCAAGUGUUUCACCCCCAUAAAGGCGCACAGGUCCACACCAUGAACCGUUAGUGCGUUCACUCAUCUCUUCGCUACCUGACGUCUAUCGACUCGGCUACGACGCUUCGCUACUAGUGCAACAACAACGGAUCUCAUUACGCAAACAAAAAAGAAAUGGCUUCUUUCGUUGGAGGUGUGCAAUAAAAGAAAAAAGGAAAAAUUCCAUUAGAGCUAGUGCCCGACUGCCACCUUAGUCCUAUCUGCAGAGAGAAAAACGCCGUCCGUCUUCUCUUUUCACGUCCUUAAUGGAUUGGGAUCCAGCCAACGUUGGCCAAAAAAAAGGGAAGGAAAGGAAAGAGGGCCUAUUCAUUUGGACUUUUGACUUCUCUACACACACACAUAGACAUAUACACUAGUCCCAAAAGUAUACAGGUACACUGACUCUUUGGCCGUCCCAUACUUUUUUCUUUUUCGGCUGGGAAAGAGGAGAGGGCUGAUUAAUCGCAUUACGGCGACAUGACCGGCCAACUCGUUACCUUUUCUCUCUCUCUCUCUCUUUCUCCAGACUACAGAAAUGCGAUCCAUUGCGCUGCUCCCUUUCUUAUCCCUUAAAAGAAAGAGAAACUUUUCGUUUUCUUUUGUGUGUGUGUGUAGAUAUUCCUUUAUUUUUUUUUUAAUUCAAUCGGCUUAUAGUUUUUGUGUGCCUCUCUCUUUCUCUGUGUGUGUGCGUGUGUAGUGUUUCAAUAGAGGAAUUUAGACAACACGUCGAAAAGGAGAGAAGACUUUGAAAAAAAGAAAAUCCUUGUUCCUCUUUGGGACCAUCGUCAGACAGGAUUAUUGUCAUUGUCCAUUCGCCAGUUGAAAUCCUUUUCGACUCUUAUUUUCUUUUCACAUUCGCCCCUCCCCUGCUCCCUAACCCACCGACAACAAUCCCAUUGAGGACAAUGUUUAUGCAACACCAAUAAAAGAUGUGCAGAGUAACAUGCGUCAUUACGAAUGUAGCAGACACACACACACACACCCUCACGAAUACGUAACUCUCUUUCUUCGCCCGUUUUUCCUGUGUCGUGUUGUUGUGAGAAGGACCAAAGUUAUCGCAGUCAAAGCAAAUGGGGAGGGAGAUUGAUUUCGACAUUUCGGUCAAAUGAAAACAUUCGAUCCAACGGCCAUUGUCUGAUCGGAUUAGGGGCCCCUAUUUUUCAGAUUCCAAAUGCCAUCGAAAGGAAAUCACCAAAGAAAAUAGCGAGUGCCUUUUCCAAUCUCGGACGAUGAUCGUGAAAAACCCACAUCAAAACAAAGUGGAAUGGAGAAACUGAAUAGACUCAAUCCCUUUUCGCCCCCCCCCCUCCUCACCCCGCACUGUUUUGCCAUUCACGAUUCACCUAUCGCUACGACUGACGUUCCCCUCUCGUCUUCGAUUGCUUUUGUCAGAGGCGAGGACUACCUGUGCACCCAACUUCUUCUUGUUGUGUUCUUUUGAUGGCUAUUUCAACCAAGGCGGCACAAAUAUUUUCCUCCUUUUUGCCCGCUGUUUUGUUUUGACUCUUGAGCAUGUUGCCUUCAACGUAUAAUCCUCUUUCAGUCAUACUUUUAGGUUUAUGUUCCUCGUUUUCUUGCUCCCUAAUAAGGUUAAUCCUUCAAAGAAGAGGGGAAAACAAAAAAGAAAUGGGCCCUGAAGGAAAAAGAUCCUUUUUUGCCUCAUCGCGUCCUUUCUUUUCAACACCUUUUCAUUAUGAACAACCUCAAAAGCCGGGCGAAGACGUGAACGAGACAGCCGUUCAGGAAUAAGAAAAAUAGAAACAAAAAAACAAAAACGUUCUUGUUCAUUAUUCGCAGCGAGCCACUAAUCGAUAGGAAACCGUCAAUCAUCACACCCACUAAAAACGUAAUAGUCACCCCACCCACUCUUGCUACUUCCCUACCCUACCCCUUACAAUUUGUCUUUUUGUUUUUGUUGAGAGGCAAUCGAUCGCCAGAGGACUUUGCUGUUCGUGACGCCCACAUCAAACAAUCAACAGCGAUCACUGAAAUUGAUUUCGUCCAGUUAGACGAUUGAACACGUCCCCGCGGACGUGAGCCACGGCGCAACCACCUCAGUCGGCGAUCCCGCCCGCCUACGCCAUCUAGCGGUCCUUUAGAGAACCAAGUCGAGUCAUCCAAGUUUCGCGUCGGUGAGGGGCAGCACUGAGGCAUCGAUCAAUAAACCACACACACAAUCAUCAUCCAACCAACCCCCACUCCCUCCUUGCAGCUAUGGAACCAACACGCAACGCACGUCGGUCGGCAUACAUAAACUAGCACCAAAGUCGUUGGUCAUAAAAAUCCUUCGACUCUCUCUCUCUCUCUCUUUCCUUCUCCGUCUCGCCUCCCUUUCUGCUUUUCACCCUCAUACAGGGAAACUUGCAUCCAUCUAUUACACAUCUCGCUUCUUCCCCCCUGUGCACCAUUCCGACUCCACCCCAACGGCUCUCCAACUUUCGGUUGCGUCCACACCCAAAAAUAUUCAUUUUUUGUUCCUCCUCCUCUGUUGAGUUUUACCGAUUUUCCCCCCAGACAUUCAUCAACUCUGCUUUUCACGUAAGAAAGUAAGAAUAAUGGCAAAACGCAAACAAGGACAUCAUCUUUGAUGAUCGAACGCACACCCCAUUUGAUCCAUUGCGCUUGUUAAAUUUGCGUUUCUAGACCAAGUCGCGACAGCCGCACAUCGUACCGUCUCUGCCUCUUUUUGUCUUGUGGCCAUUUCAAAAAAUCAAAAGAAAUUCUUUUCUCUACUUUUCCAAUAAAAAGCCAAAUGAAAAAGUAGAAGCAUUUCCAUAGAUACAAAAGAUAGGUGGUUGUGUGUGGCGCUUUAGGGCGCAGCGCGAGGAGGAGUACGUGGUAGGAAGGCUACCAACCAGCGCUUCGUAGAUGGCCUCUUUAUUUCCUUCUUCUGUAUCUAUGGAAAUGAUUCUCUUAAAAUGACGAUGCAUUUACCUGGAAAAGAAAUACGAAUUCCUGUAGGCAGAGGCAGAUAGUCCGAGUUGUCGUCUGCCAACAUCCGAGCAACGGAUGGACGUACAAUGGCGCACCACCCAGAAGUUUUGAUUUUUUCCCUUUUAGUGUUCCUUCGAGUCUUGUCGAGAUGGGUGAAAGAAAAGGCGCCCGACACCUGAAAAAUAAAACAAGAAGAAAAUAAAUCAAAUCAAUGUGUGCGCCAGGCAUUUUUGACGUUUUUUUUGUUUAAAUAGUUUGACAGGUUGGGGGAAAGAAUAUUUCAAAAAAAGAAAAGAAAACAGAAAAGAGAUGGACCGAUAUGUUUGUGACGUUGUACGCCCAACGUCAUAAAUCACCCCACACCGAAAUGAACCCAAACGGUUGACAAAUGUAUUUGGCCUUCCACCUCCACAGCGAAGCUCAUUCAUCGAAUUUCUGGGCACGUGGCCAACUAUUUUGUUUCCUCUCAAUCGAUUGUCGAACGAAAUUUCGGCGGAGCGGCCGGCCUCACAUCCAUCGCUCCUUGCUCUGCCGUAGUUUGAUCCUCGUCUACACCAAUUCAUUUCGUUUCCUUUGAGACGGAAUCCUCGUUAAGGAUUGCGUAAACAAGUCGGCGGAGGUGGGUGAGGGUGAGCAGAGAAAUAGAGAAAUAGGGAACGCGUGCGUACGCGGGGUGUGACGAAAAAGACGAAAAAGAAGAGCGAUGCAACGGGCGGCGAAAUGAAGAAGCCGAAAAACAAGACGCACGGCAAUUUCAAAAGCUUCUUUCCCGUCUCCUUUUUCACGGCGUCGACAAAAGCGGCAGGGAGAGCGGGAGAGAGAAAGAGAAAGAAAGAGAAGCUGAUGGAUGGGGAGGAGCGAAAGACAAGCAAAACAGCUGCAGCAACAACACGGAGCCGAACUCAUUUGACAAAACGAUAACAGCGAUGCCACCGAAGCUCUUGAUUGAAAACGAGUCCUAGUUUUCUCGGUCUAGGCCAAUGCAAACGAGACGCCUGCAUAAACUAAUAGCACCGAACUUUUUUUUAUUCCUCCGGCCAUUUGACACGGCUGACUGGACUCGAUCGAAACAUUGGCGAGUUUAGGGGGUGAGACGGAGAGAGAGAGGGAAACAGAUCAAUAGACACGCUAGUCGUACGUAGACGUCGUCCCUUUUCUCUCUUUCUUCUACCGACGACGCACUUUGACGCCCCCCGCCCGUUGAACAAAUGCGCCAUCGAUUGACUCUACAUUUUAAAAAAAGAAAAGAAAAGAGAAAGAAAGAAUCGGGCAUAGGAAAAAGAAAAAGAAAGGGUCGCUGUUCCCCCCUCUUUGACUUUUAGUAUCGAGAAAUUAAGUUUCCUGGCCUUUAUUUGCUAGCGAGGAAACGAGCAGCUGGACACGGUUGGCGCUACAGACGGUACACGUGUUUCUGGGAAAGAAUUUACCAAUGAAAGAACCCACGGAUUAUUUUUGGUCCAUUUCAUCACUAAACAAAACCACAAAAAAAAAAAAGUCGAAGGGAAACUGUAAAAGUGAACCAUCAAGGGCGUUUUAUUUGGACUAACAGAAAAAUUUUUUAAGGGGAAAAACCCUAUCAAACAAUCGGUUUUUUUUCUUUUCUUCUUUCCAACUCAAGUCCAUGAAAACUGAAACCCGAUUUCCUUUUGGUUAGCAGGGAGCAAAAUAAACCUGCACACACAACUUUUUGUACGUGUGUGUGUGUGUAGAUGUGUGUUGCGGUCGUCACUGGGACGGAUCAGGUUUCUCUAACGUCUCGUUGCACGCACGACAACUUGCGAUGCAAAAGAUUUCAGGGGGAGAAAACAUUUUCCAUCAUCGCGAUGGGUCGCGCAAAAAAGACGACAUUCUCUUCGAUUGGGAGGGGGGAAGAUGAAGAGAAUGAUCGUCAAAAUGGUAUUACGACAGUGUGGGUGUGUCACGACCGAGGAGAAAAAAAUGGACAUGAACCGUCAGAAAAUAGGAAAUUUUCCCGAUCGUAGAACGACGAAUGAAAACGUUUAGAGCAAUCAAUUUGCGUGCAGGCGUCCGACUUUGAGCAAAAGCACACCAGGAUGGCAAACGACGUCGUUUUUACCGGCGUGAAAACCAAACCAAUUGAUGCGACUGGUCACGUACACUGAAACUAGUUUCUGCAAAACAUUUCAACAGGGAAAGAACAAUAAAAGCGAAAGACCAUUGAACUUUACCAAUUUUCUUGUUGUUUUUUUUUUUCUACGAAAUAAAAGUAAAGUAAAGAAAGAAAGAAAAAACAAGUGAACGAUAAAUGUCGUUAGACAUUGCAGCAGAUCGAUCUUGCCCAUGAACAACAACAUGAUGGGAAAUGCUUCGGGGCGUUAUCUCAUCCAUUUUUCAUAUUCAUUUUUCUUACUCUACGACUCUGCUCUACGGGGAAAGAGAACCACUCGAAAAAUACACAUAUAUAUAUAUAUAUUUAUUUUUUUAUUUUCAACCCCCCACCCAAACAGAGAAACAUUUUGUAGACUAGUACCACCCCAAGAGACGCCGCCAUUGAAACGCAGUCAGUGGCUCUUUUUUAUUUCGGCUUUUUCCUCAUUUUACCUUUUGGAUAGAAAUUGAAAAACUAAAUUCCAAAAUGUAGGUUUUCUCACGCACUACACACACACACGACGACACACGUUAAUUUGUUUUGUGUGGCCAAGAACGUAUCGACAAGGACAGCACUGAAAUGCACUUUUGAGUUGAAUUUAUAUGUUCACUCGUAUUUCGUUUUUGGGCCCGUUAUUUUUUCAUUCGUAUCUCUCUUCUAAAAAUGUGUUUUUCGUCGUCUUCGUCGUAGGCUCACUACGAAAUCACUUGAAAUCAAGAGGCCCGAAACGAGAAGUUUGCAGCACACACAGACACACGAGACUCGUUUCAAGAAUUGAUUUCCAUGUCCAAAAUCAGCAAGAGUCAGUUAUUCACUUUUGCCAUCAAUUCAACCAGCACAUGUCCGAGAGAACACAUGACUUUCUCACUGUUGAAACUCGGUGGAAAUUAGCAAACAAAAUGAGAAAAGAAAUGCUAGCUGCCAGUGUGUCUUGGCUGCUGCUGUAUUGGGACUCGAGUACUAAACUAAAUGUAAAGAAGAAAAGGUCUGAUAUGGGCGCCAAAGGGCGCCACUAGUUUUCCUUGUGUGGCUGGCGCAGCGGCGCUGGCAAUGCUGGCAAACACCAUACAGAAUAGCGAAGGGCGGAGCUUCACAUUUUUUCCCCCUUCCAUGCCCCUUCUUUUUCUUCUUCAUGGCCUCCAAAACGUUGCCAGAUCAUACUUCGAAACGCAAAAAAAAAAUAGAUAUAUUUGUAAAUCUUUUUGAAUUUGUCGUGCUGGUGGUGUUUGCAAACGAAUCUCAAUAUUUAAUAUUCCAACAAUAAGAAAUGGGUCGAUUAAACGUAUAGCGAAUGAGUUGCAUAUGUUUCAACGACAAGUAAAUCCGUCAGCCUGACACAAGUGACACAUGUUGCCAAAAUGUGCAAAGCAGUGGACGAAAAUGGGAAAACGUCAUGAAAAAUCGAUGACAGACUAACCAGCCGUCGUCAAGUGUCUUGGUCAAUGCUCUUACACGAUUGUACGUCCAAUAAUAACAAUGCAUUAUUGAUACUAAAUGCAAAGCCGAUUACAAACGUAGUCUAGUUAGGCUGGUGGGGCUUUGUUUCGAUUUUGAUUCAUGGCGAAUGCUGGAGGGCGUGAACCAUUGGUGUUUUGGUUGUUGGAGUUGGGCCCACCGUCGUGACGCAUCAUCAGAUUAUAUUUUUGGUCGUCUUUUCCUUGCGUCGUCGAAUGCCCACACUUUUAUCUCUUUGACAGGUAGCUGUCUGGGGCCGAGUGGUUCACUGUCAUUCCAUUUCACACACAGCACAUCGGCCGACUAUUGUCAUCAGUGAUCUCGCCGUUAUAUUGGAUCCAGUCCAGCUGCACGUGGAGCCCCCUCCCCCCCCCCCUUUUUUUUUAUUCGUGGGGGAUGCCAUCGUCAGCUGUUUAGCACCGAACGACAAUGUGAUUGGACAUUCCUCUACCACUUUACAAAAGUUUCAACAGGAGCAGUUUCCAUCAGGACAUGAAUCAUGGUAGCAAGUGUGCAUUUCUCGCGUCUUUUGUUGUCAAUAUUUGACGAACAAGAAAUACGUAGACCACCCCCAGAUCCAUCAUCACCAAGUUGUCUAAAUGCACGUUGUGUAUAGUCUACAUACAACCCAACUUGUAGGUGUAUCAAGGAAGAAAAAUGUAUAGCUCGAAGGGGUAUGUGAACAAAACUUUUUUUUCUUCGAUACAAAUAUCGGUAAAUAUAGACCUACAUUAUAUACUAGAUGUGUAUUUCAGUUUGUCUAAAAUGCAUAGUAGAGGACUAUUAAAAAACACACACACGUGAAACAUUUCCCAGGCCUAUUGUGUGUAUAGACAGUAGACUAUAGGAAACUACGGGAGUGUGUUUGUCGUUUAGAUUUAGCCCACGUAAUACACCAGCAGAACUUUG